This 201-nucleotide ribosomal RNA is filed under the name uncultured prokaryote. Its description in RNAcentral is "partial 16S ribosomal RNA". It matches the Rfam family "Bacterial small subunit ribosomal RNA", at positions 524 to 724 of the family's 1533-position model. The record is from RNAcentral.
UACGAAGGGGGCUAGCGUUGUUCGGAAUUACUGGGCGUAAAGCGCGCGCAGGCGGUUUUCCUAGUCAGUGGUGAAAGCCCGGAGCUCAACUCCGGAAUUGCCUUUGAUACUGCAAAUCUCGAGUCCGAUAGAGGUGGGUGGAAUUCCUAGUGUAGAGGUGAAAUUCGUAGAUAUUGGGAAGAACACCGGCGGCGAAGGCGG